GAUGAACGCUGGCGGCGUGCCUAAUACAUGCAAGUCGAGCGAACAGAUGAGGAGCUUGCUCCUCUGACGUUAGCGGCGGACGGGUGAGUAACACGUGGAUAACCUACCUAUAAGACUGGGAUAACUUCGGGAAACCGGAGCUAAUACCGGAUAAUAUAUUGAACCGCAUGGUUCAAUAGUGAAAGACGGUUUUGCUGUCACUUAUAGAUGGAUCCGCGCCGCAUUAGCUAGUUGGUAAGGUAACGGCUUACCAAGGCAACGAUGCGUAGCCGACCUGAGAGGGUGAUCGGCCACACUGGAACUGAGACACGGUCCAGACGCCUACGGGAGGCAGCAGUAGGGAAUCUUCCGCAAUGGGCGAAAGCCUGACGGAGCAACGCCGCGUGAGUGAUGAAGGUCUUCGGAUCGUAAAACUCUGUUACUAGGGAAGAACAAAUGUGUAAGUAACUAUGCACGUCGUGACGGUACCUAAUCAGAAAGCCACGGCUAACUACGUG
RNAcentral lists this ribosomal RNA (497 nucleotides) under uncultured bacterium. Its description in RNAcentral is "partial 16S ribosomal RNA". It matches the Rfam family "Bacterial small subunit ribosomal RNA", at positions 28 to 507 of the family's 1533-position model. The record is from RNAcentral.